AUCUAUCACUAUACCACCCUGAACACACCUGAUCUCGGAAGCUAAGCAGGGUCAGGCCUGGUUAGUACUUGAAUGGGAGACCCUCUAGGAAUACCAGGUGCUGUAGAAU
RNAcentral lists this ribosomal RNA (109 nucleotides) under Colobus angolensis palliatus. The record is from RNAcentral. Lineage: Eukaryota; Metazoa; Chordata; Mammalia; Primates; Cercopithecidae.